GAAGAGGUGGCUGAGUGGUUUAAAGCGGUAGACUGUAAAUCUAUUUUAUAAAUAAUAAUCGUAGGUUCAAAUCCUACUCUCUUCA
Molecule: transfer RNA, 85 nt
Filed under: Gracilariopsis mclachlanii
Lineage: Eukaryota; Rhodophyta; Florideophyceae; Gracilariales; Gracilariaceae
Description: tRNA-Tyr
Rfam family: tRNA
About the family: Transfer RNA (tRNA) molecules are approximately 80 nucleotides in length. Their secondary structure includes four short double-helical elements and three loops (D, anti-codon, and T loops).
Source: RNAcentral